UUCGUUGUCGUCCACCGCUUAGGAUAUUUAGCUUUCACACAGGAGACCCGGGUUAAAUUCCCGGCAACGGAA
This is a transfer RNA of Ipomoea nil (Japanese morning glory), 72 nucleotides long. It matches the Rfam family "tRNA". Rfam says of the family: Transfer RNA (tRNA) molecules are approximately 80 nucleotides in length. Their secondary structure includes four short double-helical elements and three loops (D, anti-codon, and T loops). The record is from Rfam. NCBI's taxonomy places the organism in Eukaryota, Viridiplantae, Streptophyta, Magnoliopsida, Solanales, Convolvulaceae.